This 933-nucleotide ribosomal RNA is filed under the name Gloeocystidiellum sp. 'friesii'. Its description in RNAcentral is "LSU rRNA". It matches the Rfam family "Eukaryotic large subunit ribosomal RNA", at positions 38 to 963 of the family's 3401-position model. Lineage: Eukaryota; Fungi; Basidiomycota; Agaricomycetes; Russulales; Gloeocystidiellaceae. The record is from RNAcentral.
GCAUAUCAAUAAGCGGAGGGAAAAGAAACUAACAAGGAUUCCCCUAGUAACUGCGAGUGAAGCGGGAAAAGCUCAAAUUUAAAAUCUGGCGGCCUUCUGGUCGUCCGAGUUGUAGUCUGGAGAAGCGUUUUCCGCGCUGGCCCGUGUACAAGUUUCCUGGAACGGAGCGUCAUAGAGGGUGAGAAUCCCGUCUUUGACACGGACCCCAGUGCUUUGUGAUGCGCUCUCAAAGAGUCGAGUUGUUUGGGAAUGCAGCUCAAAAUGGGUGGUGAAUUCCAUCUAAAGCUAAAUAUUGGCGAGAGACCGAUAGCGAACAAGUACCGUGAGGGAAAGAUGAAAAGCACUUUGGAAAGAGAGUUAAACAGUACGUGAAAUUGUUGAAAGGGAAACGCUUGAAGUCAGUCGCGUUGGCCGGGACUCAGCCUUUUGGUGUAUUUUCCGGUCGACGGGCCAGCAUCAGUUUUGACCGCGAGAUAAGGGCGGAGGGAAUGUGGCUCUCUCGGGAGUGUUAUAGCCCUUCGUCGCAUGUCGCGGUUGGGACUGAGGAUCGCAGCACGCCUUUAUGGCCGGGGUUCGCCCACGUACGUGCUUAGGAUGCUGGCGUAAUGGCUUUAAACGACCCGUCUUGAAACACGGACCAAGGAGUCUAACAUGCCUGCGAGUGUUCGGGUGGAAAACCCGUGCGCGUAAUUAAAGUGAAAGUUGGGAUCCCUGUCGUGGGGUGCACCGACGCCCGGACCAGACCUUUUGUGACGGAUCUGCGGUAGAGCAUGUAUGUUGGGACCCGAAAGAUGGUGAACUAUGCCUGAAUAGGGUGAAGCCAGAGGAAACUCUGGUGGAGGCUCGUAGCGAUUCUGACGUGCAAAUCGAUCGUCAAAUUUGGGUAUAGGGGGCGAAAGACUAAUCGAACCAUCUAGUAGCUGGUUCUGCGAG